GGCCAAAAAGCAAAACUGGUUUUGCAUUAGGUUGCAAACCUAAAGGUUAUGGGUUCAAGCCCCAUUUUGGCUU
This 73-nucleotide transfer RNA is filed under the name Phycisphaerae bacterium. RNAcentral describes it as "tRNA-Cys". It matches the Rfam family "tRNA". From Rfam's summary of the family: Transfer RNA (tRNA) molecules are approximately 80 nucleotides in length. The record is from RNAcentral. Lineage: Bacteria; Pseudomonadati; Planctomycetota; Phycisphaerae.